GGCGAACGGGUGAGUAACACGUGGGUGACCUACCUUCGAGUGGGGGAUAACGUCCCGAAAGGGACGCUAAUACCGCAUAACAUCCUGCCUUUGAACAGGCGGAGAUCAAAGCCGGGGAUCGCAAGACCUGGCGCUUGAUGAGGGGCUCGCGUCCGAUUAGCUAGUUGGUGAGGUAAUGGCUCACCAAGGCAACGAUCGGUAGCCGGCCUGAGAGGGCGGACGGCCACACUGGGACUGAGACACGGCCCAGACUCCUACGGGAGGCAGCAGUGGGGAAUUGUUCGCAAUGGGCGCAAGCCUGACGACGCAACGCCGCGUGGAGGAUGAAGGUCUUCGGAUUGUAAACUCCUGUUGCCCGGGACGAAUGGCUCCAACCUAAUACGUUGGAGUGUGACGGUACCGGGUGAGGAAGCCCCGGCUAACUCUGUGCCAGCAGCCGCGGUAAUACAGAGGGGGCAAGCGUUGUUCGGAAUUACUGGGCGUAAAGGGCGCGUAGGCGGCCUGUUAAGUCGAACGUGAAAUCCCCGGGCUCAACCCGGGAACUGCGUCCGAUACUGGCAGGCUUGAAUCCGGGAGAGGGAUGCGGAAUUCCAGGUGUAGCGGUGAAAUGCGUAGAUAUCUGGAGGAACACCGGUGGCGAAGGCGGCAUCCUGGACCGGCAUUGACGCUGAGGCGCGAAAGCCAGGGGAGCAAACGGGAUUAGAUACCCCGGUAGUCC
RNAcentral lists this ribosomal RNA (718 nucleotides) under uncultured bacterium. Its description in RNAcentral is "bacterial SSU rRNA". It matches the Rfam family "Bacterial small subunit ribosomal RNA", at positions 97 to 796 of the family's 1533-position model. The record is from RNAcentral.